Molecule: long non-coding RNA, 454 nt
Organism: Raphanus sativus (radish)
Lineage: Eukaryota; Viridiplantae; Streptophyta; Magnoliopsida; Brassicales; Brassicaceae
Exons: 3
Source: RefSeq, a predicted model, not a curated record
AGUCAAGCCUCGACCACAUUGGAUCACCACAGUUGGGCGGGAAGAGAAUAGAGUCAGUGUUGAAGAGGUUUGGAAGCAACAUUAUAUUCUCCAAUGUAAUGCAGGAUCCCUCGAGGGGUACUGAAGAACAUUUCAAGCAGCAGUAUCGCGCUUGUGACCAAGAAAGAUAACAUUCUUCUGUCAAAUAGUGGUGUUGAGAAAAAAAUUGAAACUCAACAUUGUUUUGCAUGAAACAGGUGCGCACCAUGCGGAUCUCAAGGCAGCUACGAAAGGCGACCCGGAGUGGCUGAAAGAGCAGAGGAGUCACCAUUAUAGAGAAGUGGAUCAGUGAGUAGUACAGAGAUUUGAAAGAAGAAGACUAAGUUGAAGAAGACCAAUAGAAAACCAAAAGUUCAUUGCACAAGAUUAGCAAACAAAGACUUUAUGUAUGUUUAUCAUGUAGUUUGAGAUUCAG